GCCCGGGUGGUGGAACUGGUAGACACGUUGGACUUAAAAUCCAAUGGCCAUACAACGGCCGUGCGGGUUCAAGUCCCGCCCCGGGUA
This 87-nucleotide transfer RNA is filed under the name Bacteroidales bacterium. RNAcentral describes it as "tRNA-Leu". It matches the Rfam family "tRNA". From Rfam's summary of the family: Transfer RNA (tRNA) molecules are approximately 80 nucleotides in length. Their secondary structure includes four short double-helical elements and three loops (D, anti-codon, and T loops). Lineage: Bacteria; Pseudomonadati; Bacteroidota; Bacteroidia; Bacteroidales. RNAcentral also lists the same sequence under 1 other name. The record is from RNAcentral.